GGCAGAGCUGAGCCCACAGCACAGCAGUCACACCAAUCAAAGCACACAGAGCAAGGAGCGCUUGGUUUAUGGUUUGUUUUUUCCGGGGGAGGGGGGUCAUGUUCCAACUUUACUCAAAUAAAUGGUAACACUUUACAACAAUGAUACAAUCUUCAACCAUUCAUUAACGUGAGUUAAGGCAUUAACUAACGGUUCUAUCACUUUUAAAUUGUCUGGUAAUAAAUGACUAAUGCUGUUCAUGACUUACUAACGGUGUUCAUAUAAACGAAAAUAUUACUUUAUUGAAUAACCGAUAGACCUAUGGUAUAUAAGUCAGUGUAAAUAUGCUUUUAACGGGGAGGUGUGGUCGUGGAGAUCAGAGCCUGUGAGGGCACAAAAAAAAGAUUUCCUUCCUUCGACGAUGGCUCUAUGUUUUGUUUUAUGAUACACCAGCUCAUUGGCUGAAGUUAGCGUCGUAGAUGACGUCGGCUGGUCACCUUGCUUACCCCACCGGGACCGGGAGCCACUAUCUGACACAGCGAAAGGAGCAGCGCGCUUAAUGAAUAACUCAGCUUUACCAGCAGCUUUGCAUGUUUGGUACGCGGUGGUAAUGAAUUCAGAGGUUCUGUGAACCCAUGCUGGCCAUAUAAAGACAAUAGAGGCCCAUCAAGAAAGAAGGUUUUAGAAAUGACGAGGCCUACCUGUUGGUAAGCUGUCCUCGUCUAAGCAGGAGCUCCUCAGCAUGCUUCCAGUAUCCCUGGAGAGACCGCG
Gadus morhua (Atlantic cod) is the source of this 750-nucleotide long non-coding RNA. RefSeq lists it as uncharacterized. The record is from RefSeq and is a predicted model, not a curated record. The transcript has 3 exons. Lineage: Eukaryota; Metazoa; Chordata; Actinopteri; Gadiformes; Gadidae.